GCAGGAAGGGGCUCGCCAGUGGUUCCCUCACCCUUAGAGGCCAGGUCCCGGGCCUGGGGAGGAGGAGGUUAUUCACGCCCCAAGACCCGGGAACAAGGCGGCAGCCCCGCUCCCUGAGGGCUGUCCUUUCGCUGCUCUUCUCCACGAGGAAGCUCUACCGAGCUCCCGCAAGGAAGGAAAAAAAUAAAAUGUAAUAACCAUUUCUUACUUCCCCAUCCCCAGGGCUGAGCCGCGCUCGGGAUCGUUUAAAUGCACGAGGCUGCGGCUCUCCCGCACCGCACCGAGCAGCUCCCCGCACAUCCUGCACUGUCUGGGCGGGGGUUCCGUGGGCUCCAGCGGUAAGAUGUCAGGGGGUUAAAAUGUCCCACUCGCCUUCUCCCUUGAUCUCGGGGAGAGAGCGGCGCGGUGAGUCUGAACCGCCUUUAAGUGAGAUGUAACACGUGACGGAGGCAGAAACUUUCAGUGGGAGCGAGGAAAAAAGCAGCCCAGGAAGUGCAAAGUGGAAAGCAACCCUCUUCCUAUUUGACGACACCGCCAAUUCCUCCGGGAUCCCACCUGAGAUUAAAGCCUGAAUUUCAAUAAAUCAGCUCUAAUGAAA
Long non-coding RNA from Neopsephotus bourkii (Bourke's parrot), 598 nucleotides. RefSeq lists it as uncharacterized. Lineage: Eukaryota; Metazoa; Chordata; Aves; Psittaciformes; Psittacidae. The record is from RefSeq and is a predicted model, not a curated record. The transcript has 4 exons.